This 352-nucleotide ribosomal RNA is filed under the name Typhlocirolana sp. 4-BA2001. Its description in RNAcentral is "partial 12S ribosomal RNA". Lineage: Eukaryota; Metazoa; Arthropoda; Malacostraca; Isopoda; Cirolanidae. The record is from RNAcentral.
AAAGGGAUCUAAUCCUAGUUAAGACGCGAGCGAUGUGCAUAANANGGCUCUUUAUCUAAGGUUAUUAAAGUUAAUAUGUGCUUAGAAGUAAAUUGUAGUUCAUUGUAGCUAUAAAAUACGCUGCACCAUGGCCUGUCUUUAUUGGUGUAGUUCAGUUAAUAAAACUUUUUAGUGGUUAACUUUUACGGCGGUAUACAUGCAUAUUUAUAGUAAGUUAGUCGGUGUGGUGUCGUUUAAACAACAAGCUCCUCUAAUUUGGUGGAUUAGCCGCCAAAUUCUUUGGGUUUGGGAUAAUAGUAAUUACUACCCUCCAUAAGUUUUAUCAGAAAUAAUAAGGGUAUCUAAUCCUAGA